This 403-nucleotide ribosomal RNA is filed under the name uncultured bacterium. RNAcentral describes it as "bacterial SSU rRNA". It matches the Rfam family "Bacterial small subunit ribosomal RNA", at positions 355 to 775 of the family's 1533-position model. The record is from RNAcentral.
UAGGGAAUCUUGCGCAAUGGGCGAAAGCCUGACGCAGCCAUGCCGCGUGAAUGAUGAAGGUCUUAGGAUUGUAAAAUUCUUUCACCGGGGAAGAUAAUGACGGUACCCGGAGAAGAAGCCCCGGCUAACUUCGUGCCAGCAGCCGCGGUAAUACGAAGGGGGCUAGCGUUGCUCGGAAUUACUGGGCGUAAAGGGUGUGUAGGCGGAUACUUAAGUUAGAGGUGAAAGCCCAGGGCUCAACCCUGGAAUAGCCUUUAAUACUGGGUAUCUUGAGUUCGGGAGAGGUAAGCGGAACUCCGAGUGUAGAGGUGAAAUUCGUAGAUAUUCGGAAGAACACCAGUGGCGAAGGCGGCUUACUGGCCCGAUACUGACGCUGAGACACGAAAGCGUGGGGAGCAAACAG